CUACGGGUCGCUGCAGUGGGGAAUAUUGCACAAUGGAGGAAACUCUGAUGCAGCCAUGCCGCGUGUGUGAAGAAGGCCCGAGGGUUGUAAAGCACUUUCAAUUGGGAGGAAGGUUAUGUAGCUAAUACCUGCAUAAUUUGACGUUACCUUUAGAAGAAGCACCGGCAACUCUGUGCCAGCAGCCGCGGUAAUACAGAGGGUGCAAGCGUUAUUCGGAAUUACUGGGCGUAAAGCGCGCGUAGGCGGAUUGUUAAGUCAGAUGUGAAAGCCCUGGGCUCAACCUGGGAACGGCAUUUGAUACUGGCAGUCUAGAGUUUAAGAGAGGGAAGGGGAAUUUCUAGUGUAGCAGUGAAAUGCGUAGAUAUUAGAAGGAACAUCAGUGGCGAAGGCGCCUUCCUGGCUUAAAACUGACGCUGAGGUGCGAAAGCGUGGGUAGCGAACGGGAUUAGAUACCCUCGUAGUC
Molecule: ribosomal RNA, 463 nt
Filed under: uncultured bacterium
Lineage: Bacteria
Description: partial 16S ribosomal RNA
Rfam family: Bacterial small subunit ribosomal RNA
Source: RNAcentral